Molecule: ribosomal RNA, 406 nt
Filed under: uncultured rumen bacterium
Lineage: Bacteria
Description: bacterial SSU rRNA
Rfam family: Bacterial small subunit ribosomal RNA
Source: RNAcentral
CAGCAGCCGCGGUAAUACGAAGGGGGCUAGCGUUGCUCGGAAUUACUGGGCGUAAAGGGCGCGUAGGCGGACAGUUAAGUUGGGGGUGAAAGCCCGGGGCUCAACCUCGGAAAUGCCUUCAAUGCUGGCUGUCUUGAGUACGGGAGAGGUGAGUGGAACUCCGAGUGUAGAGGUGAAAUUCGUAGAUAUUCGGAAGAACACCAGUGGCGAAGGCGACUCACUGGCCCGUUACUGACGCUGAGGCGCGAAAGCGUGGGGAGCAAACAGGAUUAGAUACCCUGGUAGUCCACGCCGUAAACGAUGAGUGCUAGUUGUCGGCAUGCAUGCAUGUCGGUGACGCAGCUAACGCAUUAAGCACUCCGCCGGGGAGUACGGUCGCAAGAUUAAAACUCAAAGAAAUUGACGG